UUUGGCCAGAGUGUAACUAGAGGAGGGGAGGAGCCUCCGCCUCUCGGCCCAGCGCUGCAGGCGUGGAGGAUAUGAGGGAAAGGCCAGAGGGAGCAGCCAGGCCUCGAAGCAGUGUGCCCAAGGCAUCCAGGAGUAGAGUGUACAUCAUGCAAAGGUGUGUCAGCCCAGUACAGAGAUCCAGAUUCCAACAAACCCAAAAACAACUAGCAGGACCUUCAGGAAGCAGGGGAUAAUCUACAGGUGGACCAUCACAGGCAGCGGUACAUGACCUGCAGGCUGUUCACCAUGGAGAGGGAGAUGGGAGCAGCUGGAGCAUUUGAUCCGGUAACACCUAUGAGUCAUUCUCCCCUCACACAGUUAAACAGACACACAAUGUGACACACUACACUCAUUUUGCCGUCUCAUUUCAGUGUGGUACAUGAACAACUGCACUUGACAGAUGGUUCUGGUUGAAAACCCUGCGCGCUGUGACAGCUACACGCAGAUGGAGGUGCAGGGUGGAGGGCUCCUCCACUGAUACAACCCAGAGGGACUGGGCACGGCCUCA
RNAcentral lists this long non-coding RNA (547 nucleotides) under Betta splendens (Siamese fighting fish). Its description in RNAcentral is "lncRNA (ENSBSLG00000015494.1)". The record is from RNAcentral. Lineage: Eukaryota; Metazoa; Chordata; Actinopteri; Anabantiformes; Osphronemidae.